RNAcentral lists this ribosomal RNA (1436 nucleotides) under uncultured bacterium. Its description in RNAcentral is "bacterial SSU rRNA". It matches the Rfam family "Bacterial small subunit ribosomal RNA". The record is from RNAcentral.
AGAGUUUGAUCCUGGCUCAGAACGUACGCUGGCGGCACGCCUAACACAUGCAAGUCGAACGAAGUAGCAAUACUUAGUGGCAGACGGGUGAGUAACAUGUAGGUAUCUGCCCUUUGGCCUGGAAUAACACGAGGAAACUUGUGCUAAUACCGGAUAAGUCUUUACGGAGAAAGCUUUAUGCACCAUUGGAUGAGCCUGCACUUGAUUAGUUUGUUGGUGGGGUAAUGGCCUACCAAGACUGUGAUCAAUAGCUGAUUUGAGAGGAUGAUCAGCCACAUUGGGACUGAGACACGGCCCAAACUCCUACGGGAGGCAGCAGUGGGGAAUCUUGCACAAUGGAGGAAACUCUGAUGCAGCGAUGCCGCGUGAGUGAAGAAGGCCUUUGGGUUGUAAAGCUCUUUCGUCGGGGAAGAAAAUGACUGUACCCGAAUAAGAAGGUCCGGCUAACUUCGUGCCAGCAGCCGCGGUAAUACGAAGGGACCUAGCGUAGUUCGGAAUUACUGGGCUUAAAGAGUUCGUAGGUGGUUGAAAAAGUUAGUGGUGAAAUCCCAGAGCUUAACUCUGGAACUGCCAUUAAAACUUUUCAGCUAGAGUAUGAUAGAGGAAAGCAGAAUUUCUAGUGUAGAGGUGAAAUUCGUAGAUAUUAGAAAGAAUACCAAUUGCGAAGGCAGCUUUCUGGAUCAUUACUGACACUGAGGAACGAAAGCAUGGGUAGCGAAGAGGAUUAGAUACCCUCGUAGUCCAUGCCGUAAACGAUGUGUGUUAGACGUUGGAAAUUUAUUUUCAGUGUCGCAGCGAAAGCGAUAAACACACCGCCUGGGGAGUACGACCGCAAGGUUAAAACUCAAAUGAAUUGACGGGGACCCGCACAAGUAGUGGAGCAUGUGGUUUAAUUCGAAGAUACGCGCAGAACCUUACCAACACUUGACAUGUUCGUCGCGACUCUAAGAGAUUAGAGUUUUCGGUUCGGCCGGACGAAACACAGGUGCUGCAUGGCUGUCGUCAGCUCGUGUCGUGAGAUGUUGGGUUAAGUCCCGCAACGAGCGCAACCCUCACUUUUAGUUGCCAUCAUUAAGUUGGGCACUCUGAAAGAACUGCCAGUGAUAAGCUGGAGGAAGGUGGGGAUGACGUCAAGUCCUCAUGGCCCUUACGUGUUGGGCUACACACGUGCUACAAUGGUAUCUACAACAGGAAGCAAGACUGCGAGGUCAAGCAAAUCCUUAAAAGAUACCUCAGUUCGGAUUGCACUCUGCAACUCGAGUGCAUGAAGCUGGAAUUACUAGUAAUCGUGGAUCAGCGUGCCACGGUGAAUGCGUUCCCGGGUCUUGUACACACCGCCCGUCACACCAUGGGAGUUGGUUCUACCUUAAGGCAAGGUUUUAAACCCUUGACCACGGUAUAGUCAGCGACUGGGGUGAAGUCGUAACAAGGUAACC